RNAcentral lists this ribosomal RNA (468 nucleotides) under uncultured bacterium. RNAcentral's name for it is "partial 16S ribosomal RNA". It matches the Rfam family "Bacterial small subunit ribosomal RNA", at positions 28 to 507 of the family's 1533-position model. The record is from RNAcentral.
GACGAACGCUGGCGGCGUGCUUAACACAUGCAAGUCGAACGGAAAGGCCCUGCUUUUGUGGGGUGCUCGAGUGGCGAACGGGUGAGUAACACGCGAGUAACCUGCCCUUGACUUUGGGAUAACUUCAGGAAACUGGGGCUAAUACCGGAUAGGAGCUCCUGCUGCAUGGUGGGGGUUGGAAAGUUUCGGCGGUCGGGGAUGGACUCGCGGCAUAUCAGCUUGCUGGUGGGGUAGUGGCUUACCAAGGCUUUGACGGGUAGCCGGGCUGAGAGGGUGACCGGCCACAUUGGGACUGAGAUACGGCCCAGACUCCUACGGGACGCAGCAGUGGGGAAUAUUACACAGUGGGCUGGAGCCUGAUGCAACAACGCCGCGUGCGGGAUGACGGCCUUCGGGUUGUAAACCGCUUUCGCCUGUGACGAAGCGUGAGUGACGGUAAUGGGUAAAGAAGCACCGGCUAACUACGUG